UGGGCAACCUGCCCUCAGCUCUGGGAUAACUCCAAGAAAUUGGGGCUAAUACCGGACAUGACCGCUGACCGCAUGGUCUGGUGGUGGAAAGAUUUAUCGGCUGGGGAUGGGCCCGCGGCCUAUCAGCUUGUUGGUGGGGUAGUGGCCUACCAAGGCGACGACGGGUAGCCGGCCUGAGAGGGUGACCGGCCACACUGGGACUGAGACACGGCCCAGACUCCUACGGGA
This 228-nucleotide ribosomal RNA is filed under the name uncultured bacterium. Its description in RNAcentral is "partial 16S ribosomal RNA". It matches the Rfam family "Bacterial small subunit ribosomal RNA", at positions 118 to 346 of the family's 1533-position model. The record is from RNAcentral.